Small nucleolar RNA from Anoplopoma fimbria (sablefish), 74 nucleotides. RefSeq annotates it as small nucleolar RNA SNORD2. The transcript has a single exon. NCBI's taxonomy places the organism in Eukaryota, Metazoa, Chordata, Actinopteri, Perciformes, Anoplopomatidae. The record is from RefSeq and is a predicted model, not a curated record.
GAGUGAUAUGAUGGCAUACCAUCUUUCGGGACUGACUCUUACAAUGGAGAUUUCUUUUGUAUUACUGAUCACUU